GUCUUUUGCCGAAAUCUGAGUUUAUCCUCAGAUUUUUAAACCUACUAGAAGUACAUCUUCUAAUUGAUCUGGUGAUAUUUCUGACGGAAAAGUGGAAUACGUUUGAGCCGUUAAUGGUCCAUUAUUGAAAUACAACUCAAUGAUCCAGUGAUCAAUUAUGCCGCAUCAUACAUUGACACUCCACUGACGAUGAUCGAUUUCAUGAAGUCAACGAAGAAAAUGAUGGAUUCCACAACGGAGAACUACAGAUUCCUUGGUUGUAAAGUAAUUAACGAACCAAUUUCUCAGUUCACGCUUUUUGAAAUGUUGUCCUUUCAAAGUCCGCUGUGUCGAACGAAAUAGCUGUUAAUUUGAAGGUGCAACAGCUGGAGUAGAGACAGGGAUGACUUUCGAAGACUGUAACCAACUGACAUUUUUAACAAACAGUACGAAGAGUUCUGCAUCGGACCGGAUAUAUUUAAUAGUAUAGUUGCGAGGAAGAAACUACUCAUAAGUAAAGUAAACGGAAAAGAGGUUAGAAUUUGCAGAACAAUACAUAAAUGCUAACGACUUCUGAAAAAACAUAGUAUUUUCCGACGAGUCAAAAUGAAAUAUUUUCGAGUCGGACGGUAGUAAAAAAGUAUGGCGGAAAGCUAAUACUUUUAAUUGGAUUUCAAAAAUAUGCAAUCGACAACGAAACACGAAGGUGGAGAAGCGAGGAUGUAUUGCUGCUUUUGGAGACGGCAAUUUAGUAAUACAACAUACAGCCUAUAUGAAUAGUGCGUCAGUGGUUGAUAAUACCAAUACUUCCCACAGAUUAGCAACUCCUCCACAAUCGCUUAAAUUAAAUCCUAUCGAACAUGUAUGGACGAAACUAGAAAAAAAUGUAUGAAAACAUGAUAUAACGUCGAAAGAACACUUGAAAGAAAUAUUAAAAAGAGAAUGGUGUAAUAUAGAACCUUAUUUCGUUAGAAGUUUGGUGUUGUCAAUGCCCGAUAUAUUACGUGAAGUGAUUUAUCAGAAGAGUUAUCAUGCAAAAUAUUAAUUUAUAAAAUUCCUACUAAAAUAAUUGUAGCAAUAAUUAAGUGUACGAAUAUUUUUGUGCGGCGAUUUCUUACAGUCGCGUGAAUUUCAAAUCAUUUCAAGUUACUACAUGAUGUUAUUGUCUUCGGUUUAGGGUCAUUUGUUACUCUAAGAGUAAUGUUUAAU
Long non-coding RNA from Megachile rotundata (alfalfa leafcutting bee), 1188 nucleotides. NCBI's taxonomy places the organism in Eukaryota, Metazoa, Arthropoda, Insecta, Hymenoptera, Megachilidae. The record is from RefSeq and is a predicted model, not a curated record.